AUUCCAUCUGUCUUAGUUUCGAAAAUUUGUCUUGGAAUCUACUUAUGAGUUCUUAUUGGCUUGCACUUUAGUAUUUCAAUCCUGAGCCAAUUCAUUUUAAUUGAUUUUGAUGCUAUGAUCUUUAAAGGAGUAAAAGAAAGUCUUUAAGAGAGCUCUAAAAGAACUUUCAAAGCCUUGAAUUUUAUGUAUCCUACACUGCAUAAAUUCAUGUUUUGGUAUCUAUGCCCCAAUACUUUUAUAUCAUGAAAGAACUUUGAAGUCAUUAAGAAUUAAGGAUUCAACAUAAUCUUAUGUUUUUCGAGUAUAUAAGGUUUAAUCUUUAUUUGUGAUCGGUUCUUUCAAUUUUGAAAAUAAACCACGCAAUAGCACGUAUCCUGUAGGACAGUGAUUACGGGUGUCGGUCCACAGGGAUUGGAGACAAGUUAUUUUUCCUAAUUAAAUAAUUACUUCAAA
RNAcentral lists this long non-coding RNA (453 nucleotides) under Phoenix dactylifera (date palm). Its description in RNAcentral is "long non-coding RNA (PDAC_LNC010766)". Lineage: Eukaryota; Viridiplantae; Streptophyta; Magnoliopsida; Arecales; Arecaceae. The record is from RNAcentral.